UAGGGAAUCUUCCGCAAUGGGCGAAAGCUUGACGGAGCAACGCCGCGUGUGUGAUGAAGGUCUUCUGAUCGUAAAACUCUGUUAUUAGGGAAGAACAAAUGUGUAAGUAACUAUGCACGUCUUGACGGUACCUAAUCAGAAAGCCACGGCUAACUACGUGCCAGCAGCCGCGGUAAUACGUAGGUGGCAAGCGUUAUCCGGAAUUAUUGGGCGUAAAGCGCGCGUAGGCGGUUUUUUAAGUCUGAUGUGAAAGCCCACGGCUCAACCGUAGAGGGUCAUUGGAAACUGGAAAACUUGAGUGCAGAAGAGGAAAGUGGAAUUCCAUGUGUAGCGGUGAAAUGCGCAGAGAUAUGGAGGAACACCAGUGGCGAAGGCGACUUUCUGGUCGGUAACUGACGCUGAUGUGCGAAAGCGGGGGGAUCAAACAGG
RNAcentral lists this ribosomal RNA (429 nucleotides) under Actinomycetes bacterium. Its description in RNAcentral is "Actinobacteria bacterium partial 16S ribosomal RNA". It matches the Rfam family "Bacterial small subunit ribosomal RNA", at positions 355 to 776 of the family's 1533-position model. Lineage: Bacteria; Bacillati; Actinomycetota; Actinomycetes. The record is from RNAcentral.